This 305-nucleotide ribosomal RNA is filed under the name Vibrio parahaemolyticus. Its description in RNAcentral is "bacterial SSU rRNA". It matches the Rfam family "Bacterial small subunit ribosomal RNA", at positions 135 to 442 of the family's 1533-position model. The record is from RNAcentral. Lineage: Bacteria; Pseudomonadati; Pseudomonadota; Gammaproteobacteria; Vibrionales; Vibrionaceae.
UGUGGGGGAUAACCAUUGGAAACGAUGGCUAAUACCGCAUGAUGCCUACGGGCCAAAGAGGGGGACCUUCGGGCCUCUCGCGUCAGGAUAUGCCUAGGUGGGAUUAGCUAGUUGGUGAGGUAAGGGCUCACCAAGGCGACGAUCCCUAGCUGGUCUGAGAGGAUGAUCAGCCACACUGGAACUGAGACACGGUCCAGACUCCUACGGGAGGCAGCAGUGGGGAAUAUUGCACAAUGGGCGCAAGCCUGAUGCAGCCAUGCCGCGUGUGUGAAGAAGGCCUUCGGGUUGUAAAGCACUUUCAGUCG